This 658-nucleotide long non-coding RNA is filed under the name Struthio camelus australis. RNAcentral's name for it is "lncRNA (ENSSCUG00000013672.1)". The record is from RNAcentral. Lineage: Eukaryota; Metazoa; Chordata; Aves; Struthioniformes; Struthionidae.
CGGCGCCCUUCAGAGAGAACUGACAGCAGAGAGGAGGGUAGAAAAGCUGGAGUGAAUCUGAAAGCAGUGAUUCAUGAGAUCCAGUAUUCCUGCUUCAUGAGCUGAGCGCAGGUGGAGAAAGGAAGUCUUUGGCUGCUGGUCAGCAAGGUGUGCCUCUGCGUUUGAGACUGAGUUCUCCUGUUGUUGCAUUGAGGAAAAGUGUGAAGCUAAAAUGAACCAAAGAAGAAGCACAGUGGGAGUGAAGAGAAAGGUGAUGAUGCCAGCACUGGUUUUCUCAUGUUUCCCAAAGGCAAUUACUGUGCCAGUGUCCCACGAUGCAAUGAGAUACGGCUCACACCCAAAUCCUCCAGCAGCUUCAGUUAAGUCCUCCAGAUAUAAGAACACUUUAAAAAGCAAAGAUUUAUUUGGGACUAGUGACCGCCUGUACCUAAGGAGGCAUUACAAGCUACUAAUUAAGCAAAUAUACAGUUUUACUUUUGCCUUGUCCCCUCAUCACCUUGUCUUCCUCGCAGACUUGUCUAAUCACUUCUUGCUCAGAUGGCUAAUAUUGUACUCCAGUCCCCUGGGAGAAGGGACUGUCUUUUUAGCUUUUCAUUCAGUCAGUGUGUAGAGCACAGAAAAUGCUCUACAAAUAAUAAUAAAUAUUUCAUUAAAAUCA